AUGACUCUCGGCAACGGAUAUCUCGGCUCUCGCAUCGAUGAAGAACGCAGCGAAAUGCGAUACUUGGUGUGAAUUGCAGAAUCCCGCGAACCAUCGAGUUUUUGAACGCAAGUUGCGCCCAAAGCCUUUUGGCCGAGGGCACGUCUGCCUGGGUGUCACGCAACAU
RNAcentral lists this ribosomal RNA (166 nucleotides) under Croton cuneatus. RNAcentral describes it as "5.8S ribosomal RNA". It matches the Rfam family "5.8S ribosomal RNA". Rfam says of the family: 5.8S ribosomal RNA (5.8S rRNA) is a component of the large subunit of the eukaryotic ribosome. It is transcribed by RNA polymerase I as part of the 45S precursor that also contains 18S and 28S rRNA. The record is from RNAcentral. Lineage: Eukaryota; Viridiplantae; Streptophyta; Magnoliopsida; Malpighiales; Euphorbiaceae.